This 849-nucleotide non-coding RNA is filed under the name Pan troglodytes (chimpanzee). Lineage: Eukaryota; Metazoa; Chordata; Mammalia; Primates; Hominidae. The record is from RNAcentral.
AGUGUGUGCCUUACUAUGUGUGAGGAGGUGCUGUCUUGCUUUCAGUGUGUAAAUAUCAUGCCUUGAUGGAGAAACUGCAGCAGAGAGGCCCUGCUGCCCCAGCACAUCUGUCACAGCCCACACAACACCUCCAGAGUGAGAGCAACAAAUUCAACGAACUGCCAAGUUGUCUGUACCACCUGGGUGCAAGCAGGAAUGAAGAAACUGUGGCCCAGAGAGGUGAAACAACCCAGCCGAUGUCACGUCGUAGCUAAGAUGACAGCUAUUGGCCUGUACCUCGGCCCUCAAGUUUCCCAUGCAAUGUGCUUCCUACUAUUCAUUGUUGCCCCGUCUCUAGGUUGUUAUCAAAUGGACCCUGCCAGACUGAAUUUCUUCCUGCAAAGAGGACAGUCCAGGUCUGCUGAUGGGUUUCCAACACAGGAAACUCAGGGGUUCUAAUACCUCCUCUUGACCCAGUAACUGACAAGCCCUGAGCCUCAGGAUUCCUGGCCCUGUCCCCUCUCACCUCCUCUGCCAAACCAUGGUACUAGAAGAAAAUUACAAGAGAAAAUAUGACACAAAUUGUGAAAGUGGUAUACAGCAGCUCAGCUUUGGGAAACGUGAGUCCUGUCUGCUUAUGGAUGCAUUGAUUCAUGGGUAUUACACUUGUCUCCCAAGUUGCUUGCUGAUGCUUUCAAGGUCAGGUAAUAACAUUCUCCAAGGAACUAAGCGGAGUGGCUGACCUCAUUUCUCCCCUGACCUGCAGGCUGGCUGGCUGGUUGCCUUGCUUCUGGGAGAUGGCCAGGCAGCCUGUUGCUCCCUGUGCCCCUCACUGACCAGGCAGCUCACUCCCUUUGUGGCAGCCUCAUG